UUUUCUGACUAGGGGUGCCGGAGCGACCGGCUGAGAUAAAGAUGUAUUUCUUUAACCCUUUAACCUGAUCUGGAUAAUGCCAGCGUAGGGAAGUUUGAGCGACAUUAA
Molecule: non-coding RNA, 108 nt
Filed under: Peptoclostridium acidaminophilum
Lineage: Bacteria; Bacillati; Bacillota; Clostridia; Peptostreptococcales; Peptoclostridiaceae
Also listed under: 1 other name
Description: TPP sequence
Rfam family: TPP riboswitch aptamer (THI element)
About the family: Vitamin B(1) in its active form thiamin pyrophosphate (TPP) is an essential coenzyme that is synthesised by coupling of pyrimidine and thiazole moieties in bacteria. The previously detected thiamin-regulatory element, thi box was extended, resulting in a new, highly conserved RNA secondary structure, the THI element, which is widely distributed in eubacteria and also occurs in some archaea. Analysis of operon structures identified a large number of new candidate thiamin-regulated genes, mostly transporters, in various prokaryotic organisms.
Source: RNAcentral